GUCUGUGAUGAAGUCGCCCGAUUUGGUUGAGGCUGCUGUCGUCACCAAGUUCCUGCUUGUCAGGAAGAACCUACUUGGUGCCGCUGCUCUCGCAUGAUAUCUCCGGGUAAAUCUGAGGC
Non-coding RNA from Zea mays, 119 nucleotides. Lineage: Eukaryota; Viridiplantae; Streptophyta; Magnoliopsida; Poales; Poaceae. The record is from Rfam.